This 599-nucleotide ribosomal RNA is filed under the name uncultured bacterium. RNAcentral's name for it is "bacterial SSU rRNA". The stretch from base 1 to 530 matches the Rfam family "Bacterial small subunit ribosomal RNA", at positions 338 to 873 of the family's 1533-position model. The record is from RNAcentral.
CCUACGGGAGGCAGCAGUAAGGAAUAUUGGUCAAUGGACGAAAGUCUGAACCAGCCAUGCCGCGUGAAGGAUGACGGCCCUCUGGGUUGUAAACUUCUUUUAUAGGGGACGAAAAAAGGGUAUUCUUACUCACUUGACGGUACCCUAGGAAUAAGCACCGGCUAACUCCGUGCCAGCAGCCGCGGUAAUACGGAGGGUGCAAGCGUUAUCCGGAUUCACUGGGUUUAAAGGGUGCGUAGGUGGGUCUAUAAGUCAGUGGUGAAAUCUCCGAGCUUAACUCGGAAACUGCCAUUGAUACUAUAGGCCUUGAAUUAUCUGGAGGUAAGCGGAAUAUGUCAUGUAGCGGUGAAAUGCUUAGAUAUGACAUAGAACACCAAUUGCGAAGGCAGCUUACUACGGAUAUAUUGACACUGAGGCACGAAAGCGUGGGGAUCAAACAGGAUUAGAUACCCUGGUAGUCCACGCCCUAAACUAUGGAUACUCGACAUCAGCGAUACACUGUUGGUGUCUGAGNGAGANAUAUAUCCACCAGAGACGACGCGAGUAGAACGACGAAGAAGUAGAGCGUGAGAGNGACGACGACGACGACGAGGAGGAGG